Molecule: ribosomal RNA, 1321 nt
Filed under: uncultured Eubacteriales bacterium
Lineage: Bacteria; Bacillati; Bacillota; Clostridia; Eubacteriales
Description: bacterial SSU rRNA
Rfam family: Bacterial small subunit ribosomal RNA
Source: RNAcentral
GCGUGCUUAAUACAUGCAAGUCGAACGGGUUUGGUAGCAAUAUCAAAUCAGUGGCGGACUGGUGAGUAACGCGUGAGCAAUCUGCCUUUAACUGGGGAAUACCCACCAGAAAUGGUGGCUAAUACCGCAUAUGAUCACAACCAGGCAUCUGGAAGGGGUGAAAGAUUUAUCGGUUAAAGAGGAGCUCGCGUCCCAUUAGUUAGUUGGUGAGGUAAUGGCUCACCAAGACAGCGAUGGGUAACCGGCCUGAGAGGGUGAACGGUCACAAUGGAACUGAGAUACGGUCCAUACUCCUACGGGAGGCAGCAGUAGGGAAUAUUGGGCAAUGGAGGCAACUCUGACCCAGCAACGCCGCGUGAAUGAAGAAGGUUUUCGGAUUGUAAAGUUCUUUUCUCAUAGACGAAAAAAAUGACGGUAUAUGAGGAAUAAGCUACGGCAAACUACGUGCCAGCAGCCGCGGUAAUACGUAGGUAGCAAGCGUUGUCCGGAAUGACUGGGCGUAAAGGGUGUGUAGGUGGCGAUUUAAGUUAAAUGUGAAAUCUAGGGGCUUAACCCCUAAACUGCAUUUGAUACUGGGUUGCUUGAGUGCAGGAGAGGUUGGUGGAAUUCCAUGUGUAGCGGUAGAAUGCGUAGAUAUAUGGAGGAACAUCGGUGGCGAAGGCGGCCAACUGGACUGUUACUGACACUGAAACACGAAAGCGUGGGGAGCAAACAGGAUUAGAUACCCUGGUAGUCCACGCCCUAAACGAUGAAUACUAGAUGUUGGCGGUAUCGACUCCGUCAGUAUCGUAGCUAACGCGUUAAGUAUUCCGCCUGAGUAGUACGGCCGCAAGGUUGAAACUCAAAGAAAUUGACGGGGACCCGCACAAGCAGCGGAGCAUGUGGUUUAAUUCGAAGAUACCCGAAAAACCUUACCAAGACUUGACAUCGCCUGAAUAGCCGCGAAAUCGGUGAAUUUAUAGCAAUAUAACAGGUAGACAGAUGGUGCAUGGUUGUCGUCAGCUCGUGUCGUGAGAUGUUCGGUUAAGUCCGAUAACGAGCGCAACCCUUGUCGCUAGUUGCCACCAUUAAGUUGGGCACUCUAACGAAACUGCCGUAGAUAAUACGGAGGAAGGUGGGGAUGACGUCAAAUCAUCAUGCCUCUUACGUCUUGGGCUACACACGUGCUACAAUGGCCACUACAAAGAGUUGCAAUAUAGUAAUAUGGAGCCAAUCUCAAAAAAGUGGUCUCAAUUCGGAUUGAGGGCUGAAACCCGCCCUCAUGAAGUCGGAGUUGCUAGUAAUCCCAAAUCAGCAUGUUGGGGUGAAUGCGUUCCCGGGU